GUCAAGAAGAGGAAGAAAAGAGAGCUUGAGAGCAGUGGGAUUGGGAACAUGGAGAAAAGUCUAAAUGCUUUGUUUUCACCUCUAGUGUUGGAGGUGAGAAUUCUAUUUGGUAUUUCCUGAUGCCUCCUAUUCCUAUUGUUCUCAAGAACUCCUUCCUUUUCUUUUUGGCU
Triticum urartu is the source of this 170-nucleotide non-coding RNA. Lineage: Eukaryota; Viridiplantae; Streptophyta; Magnoliopsida; Poales; Poaceae. The record is from Rfam.